AGAGUUUGAUCAUGGCUCAGAUUGAACGCUGGCGGCAGGCCUAACACAUGCAAGUCGAACGCGAAAGCUCUUCGGAGUGAUUAGAGUGGCGGACGGGUGAGUAAUGCUUGGGAAUCUGCCCGGUAGUGGGGGACAACCGUUGGAAACGACGGCUAAUACCGCAUACGACCUACGGGUGAAAGCAGGGGAUCUUCGGACCUUGCGCUAUCGGAUGAGCCCAAGUCGGAUUAGCUAGUUGGUGGGGUAAAGGCCUACCAAGGCGACGAUCCGUAGCUGGUUUGAGAGGAUGAUCAGCCACAUCGGGACUGAGACACGGCCCGAACUCCUACGGGAGGCAGCAGUGGGGAAUAUUGCACAAUGGGCGAAAGCCUGAUGCAGCCAUGCCGCGUGUGUGAAGAAGGCCUUCGGGUUGUAAAGCACUUUAAGCAGUGAGGAAGGUUUGUAGGUUAAUACCCUGCAAAAUUGACGUUAACUGCAGAAUAAGCACCGGCUAACUCCGUGCCAGCAGCCGCGGUAAUACGGAGGGUGCAAGCGUUAAUCGGAAUUACUGGGCGUAAAGCGCGCGUAGGCGGCUGUUCAAGCCAGAUGUGAAAUCCCAGGGCUUAACCUUGGAACUGCAUUUGGAACUGGGCAGCUAGAAUACAGCAGAGGAGUGUGGAAUUUCAGGUGUAGCGGUGAAAUGCGUAGAGAUCUGAAGGAACAUCAGUGGCGAAGGCGACACUCUGGGCUGAUAUUGACGCUGAGGUGCGAAAGCGUGGGUAGCAAACAGGAUUAGAUACCCUGGUAGUCCACGCCGUAAACGAUGUCUACUAGCCGUUGGGAUCCUUGAGGUCUUAGUGGCGCAGCUA
Molecule: ribosomal RNA, 848 nt
Filed under: uncultured bacterium
Lineage: Bacteria
Description: bacterial SSU rRNA
Rfam family: Bacterial small subunit ribosomal RNA
Source: RNAcentral